CUCAUACCCCCCCCAGGGGGAGCUGGCUGCUGGGCUGGGGUGUCAAUAUAAGGAAGUGGAGGAAGAGAAGGAGAGACCACGACUUCCUGUUUCCAUCUGUUGAAUGACGGGAGCAGCUUUUCCUCAGCAGCCUAGGCCUUGUGGAUUUAGACGAGGAGUUUUACUUCUAAUAUCUUUGAAUGGACAACUAAUCACUUGAGCUGGUCGGCACUGGGCCUUGCUUGCGUUGGCCCCCUGAGAGUUCUGACUGAAUUUAUCCUGAAAAAUCUGACUCUGGAGAGUAAGAAGGAGCAGCGGGAGCUGCAGGAUGUGAUCCAUAAGAUUGUGGAGGCCACUGGGACAAUCGCAGGUUCUUCUCUGGAACAAACGAUGUGGUUGAAGAGGAACCUGGAGGUGAAACCAUCUCCUCAGAUUGUAGUGGAGGGAGAAGAGGUGGAGGAGUCUCACAGAGAGAGAGAGAGAGAGAGACCCACAAUUCACUCCACAGCAGCUCAUUCUGGAUACAGGUUCUCAUCCCCCUGAACUGCAGCUGAUUCCAGCUGUCUAAUCAGCUCAUUUUGUGUUUCAGGGACUGUCACAUGUGACUCCUGCAGGCCUUUUUAAAUAAGUUUUGUCUUGCUUCAGUUGCCUGUUUUUUUUUUAACCAUAAAUUGAAGAUUAUUUUUUUACGGUGCAUAAUCUACAACAUUCAUUCAGAAAGUCGUAAAAUGUAAAUGGUAAAUUAGGAAGUAUUGAAGAAAGGAAAUGGAAACUGGUGAUCCAAACCCUCCUGAACUCAGUUUCUUCCUCAUGCUGCGUUCCUUUGUACGUUUCUCUUGUAAACUAAUAAAUGGUCCAACAU
Neoarius graeffei (lesser salmon catfish) is the source of this 841-nucleotide long non-coding RNA. RefSeq lists it as uncharacterized. The record is from RefSeq and is a predicted model, not a curated record. The transcript has 3 exons. NCBI's taxonomy places the organism in Eukaryota, Metazoa, Chordata, Actinopteri, Siluriformes, Ariidae.